CUUUUCUUCCCCUUUCACCCACCCGCCUACCUGCCUACCCGAACUCUCUCCAAUGGAUCAUAUUGCAAGAAGAAGAAAAAGUGAAACCUCAUCUUAUACACCGGCGCCGACGUUGUCGCCGCCAUCGCCAUUAACCUCAUCGUAUCUUCCGUCAACGCUCACAGAGAAAAGCUCAAGAAGAAAAAAUGACUCGCGGGGACAAAUGUGCGAAUCAAUCUCUUCGCAUCCGAGAUCAAGAGACUAGUUGAUGAUAAAUCGAAGGAGGUUUAUGAUUCUGUAGCCUCAGUUACCCUCGAGAAAGUUACAUAUAUGAAUGUUAUAGCGCCCCCGGCAGAGCUCGAAGCAUACCAAUUUCCCUUAUCGAGCUCCGUCGCUGAAAUAAGAUUGGAUUCUUUCUUUUUGAUGUGUAGCGGUUUCCUUGGGAUCCAAGGUUCGGUAUCCUCUUCAAUCCAACGCGAGAUCGAAGGCGUCAGCGAUCGAUGAUUCAUCUAAAUCUUCUUCAGUUUCUCAAAGGGCAUAUCUAAAACAAUGUUGAGGAGGAAAUUCUGCUCUCUAAAAUCUCAUUCUACUAAGGAGGAACAGUCUGCAAAUAAAAAAGGGAAGCUGACCCGAUAGACUUCUGUAUUGCAGUAUGGAGGCAGAUAGAGAACAAUGAGGAUGUUACUAUUGGAGCUAUGAUGCUUGCAAUGCAAUCAUGAAGAUAAUUGGGCACUUUGUUCUCCAGACUGUACAACAUCUUCAAUUUCUGUUUAGGACAUUCCUAAGUGCUCAGGGUUAUGCAACCCAGAGGCAAAGAUGUUAAUGCUCCAUAAAAGAGAAAUUUGUUCGAGCUCCUACUUCUGAUCAAUAGCCAGUUUUGUUCAGUUCAUACUUUUACCAAUAAAUACCUUCCAAGAGAAGCCUGUACAGGAAACCAUCCCCAAUCUGGGAACAGUGUGUGAUUGAAAUUCAUUGCUCGCCGGAUGCUUAUUUAUUUGCUAAGGAUCAAAUUCUUAUAUAUAUGUUCAUCUUGUCCAUUACUUUGAGGUCAUAUACACAAAUUUUGUCAA
Long non-coding RNA from Asparagus officinalis (garden asparagus), 1049 nucleotides. RefSeq lists it as uncharacterized. The record is from RefSeq and is a predicted model, not a curated record. The transcript has 7 exons. NCBI's taxonomy places the organism in Eukaryota, Viridiplantae, Streptophyta, Magnoliopsida, Asparagales, Asparagaceae.